CUGAGCUCAUUCUUUUCAGUAAAUUCUCUCUCUGCGUGGUGAGAAAACAGGCCUGGAGAGGCUCUGCGACCCGCUUAGGACCACAGAACUCGGUACUAGGAAAACUCCUAUUUUAAAAUCCAGCCCUGAGUGGGAAGAUUUGGGAAGAAUCGUUAAUAUUGAGAGAGAGAGGGAGAAAGAGGAUUAGGUGAGAGUGGCGCCCCCGCUCAUGUCCGCCCCCUCCCCGCAGAGAAUUACGUGUACCAGGGACGGCAGGAAUGCUACGCGUUUAAUGGGACACAGCGCUACCUGGAGAGAUACAUCUACAACCGGGAGGAGUACGCGCGCUUCGACAGCGACGUGGGGGAGUUCCGGGCGGUGACGGAGCUGGGGCGGCCUGCUGCGGAGUACUGGAACAGCCAGAAGGACCUCCUGGAGGAGAAGCGGGCAGUGCCGGACAGGAUGUGCAGACACAACUACGAGCUGAACGAGGCCGUGACCCUGCAGCGCCGAGUCCAGCCUAAGGUGAACGUUUCCCCCUCCAAGAAGGGGCCCCUGCAGCACCACAACCUGCUUGUCUGCCACGUGACAGAUUUCUACCCAGGCAGCAUUCAAGUCCGAUGGUUCCUGAAUGGACAGGAGGAAACAGCUGGGGUCGUGUCCACCAACCUGAUCCGUAAUGGAGACUGGACCUUCCAGAUCCUGGUGAUGCUGGAAAUGACCCCCCAGCAGGGAGACGUCUACAUCUGCCAAGUGGAGCACACCAGCCUGGACAGUCCUGUCACCGUGGAGUGGA
RNAcentral lists this small RNA (775 nucleotides) under Pan troglodytes (chimpanzee). Its description in RNAcentral is "processed transcript". Lineage: Eukaryota; Metazoa; Chordata; Mammalia; Primates; Hominidae. The record is from RNAcentral.